GGGACAUCUGAACCAACUUCUCCUAAGAGGAACAGAAGGAUGGGAGGACAUUUCAGGCAGAGGGAGUAACUUGUGCACUGGCCUGCAGGCUCCUAGUUUGUUCUGGGCAAGGAAGAGUCAGAGCAGGAGAAUGAGUCUUCGAUUAGGAAAGGCAUAUGAAACGACUUACAGAAAGCAAGUUAUACAAGGUCGCUGAACUGUAGCUGCCCCUGCAAUAGAAACCUAAAGAUGAACAAAGAGACCCCAUUACCAAGCAACAGAUAAGCAGAAGCCUUGAAGCACCACCACAUGUUGAGUGGAAGGAUGACAAGGGAAGAACAGAAAGAAAAAGAAGAUGCGUAAUGCUCCUUCCAGCACUGACGUUGCAUGAUUCCACGUGGCACGAGUUGUAAUUUAUAUGAGCUCGAGAAUAAGUCCCCUUCCGCCUCUCCCCACGUGCUUAUAACACACAGUGCGGGCUUCCCUCUCUCCAGAAAAACCUUCUCUCGGAUUCCAAGGCCCACUAAGUUGCCUCCCUCUGUGCUUCCUCCCACAUUUACCCUUGCUGUAAUGUUUUCUUAAUUUGUCUCCUCCGGUGAGUGUGGAGUGCUCUGAGGGCAGAAACUGUGUUUUAGUCAUUGUUGCAUUUCUCACAACUUUUGAGCACAUUGCUGGCACAGAACAGGUACAAAUGAAUGUUUAAUUUGAAUAUAAUGAGACUCCUCAAAGAAGAAUCUGCUUAUCAUGUUGAACAACGAAAUGAA
Long non-coding RNA from Tupaia belangeri chinensis (Chinese tree shrew), 743 nucleotides. RefSeq lists it as uncharacterized. The record is from RefSeq and is a predicted model, not a curated record. Lineage: Eukaryota; Metazoa; Chordata; Mammalia; Scandentia; Tupaiidae. The transcript is spliced from 3 exons.